AUUGGACUCGAAACGUUAGCUGUGCUUUUCUCUCCACAUAUGCUGCCAGACCUGCUGAAUGCUUCGAGCACUUCGUGGUUUUGUUCACUUUAGAUCUCCAGUAUCCGCAGUUGUUUGUUUUAUUUUAGGUAGUAGCUGUGGCCUGCCGACUGUGGAACAUUUCAAGUUCUUACUUUGCGUCCCGUUCCCUUAAUACACGACGAUGCGUUGGUUUCUGCUGCUGUUGUGUUUUCCCAGCAUCCAGUUUGCUUUACCCGGAUAUUGCAGUAUACAGCAACGGCUUCGUUUCCAGCUGCCGAGCAACAUAAGCCGAGACGCAGCUGCUGCUGCUCAUUCAGAGCACCUCUUCGAGCAGUUUGUUUGGAAAUAUAAUUGCAGCUACGCGGCAGGAAGCUCCGAAUUCGAUCACAAAUACAAGGUUUUUCUGGAAAGCAUACAAAGACACUACUCUCUGAAUCUUAUUUCUUCAAUCUUGUUGAAUGAAAGUGGCUCCGCUAUUUAUGGAAUCAACCAGUUCUCCGAUAUGCCACCUCAAGUAUUUAGAGCAACAUAUUUGAGUUCAAGAUCAGUGCAACUUCCGAAAUAUACAUCAGUUCUUAAGGAUACCAAGACGCGAGCAUUACCACCAAAAUUUGACUGGAGAGACAAGAAUGUUGUCACAUCUGUGCGAAAUCAAAGAUCUUGCGGUGGUUGCUGGGCAUUCAGUGUUGUGGAGAGUAUUGAAUCUUCAAGUGCAAUCAAAGAAGGUCACCUGGAGUUGCUCAGUGCACAAGAGGUUAUAGAUUGUUCUUUUAGGGAUGCAGGUUGCAAAGGUGGCUCACCCAUCAGUGCCCUGAUGUGGCUAAAUCAGAGCAAAGCAAAACUGGUGAAAGAGUCAGAGUAUCCUUUCAAUGCACAAACUGGAAUAUGCCAUUACUUUUCAAGGUCUACAUUUGGCGUUGCUAUCACAGGUUUUAAAGCAUAUAGCUUCAGAUAUAAUGAAGAUGUUAUGAUGGAGAAACUGUUGGAAUGGGGUCCGUUGGUGGUGGUUGUGGAUGCAGUAAGUUGGCAGGACUAUCUUGGUGGCAUUAUUCAGCAUCACUGCUCUCAAGGCAAGUCAAACCAUGCAGUAGUGAUCACUGGUUAUGACACGACAGGUGAUAUUCCUUACUGGAUUGUACGGAAUUCAUGGGGAACCAAAUGGGGAAUUGAUGGCUAUGUAUACAUCAAAAUGGGAAGAAAUAUUUGUGAUUUACACAACUACAGUAUUUUGCUUUUGACCUGUUAAUAAAUCACUUGAACAGGGCACUACUAUAGUUUUUCAGUUGAAAGGAGAAAGAAGAACAAAGGUAUUGCUGAUUCCGUUGCUGUAGCAUUUGUAUGAGAAGAAAUAGAUGUUCCCUGGAUCUUGGUCUGCCUACAGGACAGCCUUUUACCAAGAACUGAAUUUAAGAUGAAGAUAGCCCAAUUCCUCCACAUCCGCUGCGGAUCCCCCAUUGUGUAACCUAUGCCAGAAUCCAAAUGAUGUUCCUUCAUUUAAAUUAAUGGAAGAAAUUUUGGUGAAUCACAUCAGAGAAUCAGCUCUUACCUGAUUUCUUAAUAACUGCAGUGGACAAGUUAGUACAGACUAUGUUUCAUUUUAAAUCUUCUGGACCCUCUGCUGACAGUGUUGAAUGUUCUAUGUUCUAUAUCUCAAGCUGACAUAAAAAAGGUUGUCAGUGCUAUUCCACCAUUUUCUGAAAUGCGCUGACACUGGCAAACAACCUCACCACAGAGCAGUCUUAAAACGUUUAAACCAAAAUGCCUUAGUAUUAAGUUAGCUAUUAGCAACUCUUGUCAGUAUUCACAAUAUUUAUUUCAGAGAAUCCUAAAGUUGCUUAAUUUGUUUUACACCGAAAUUAGGAGCUCUAAUUCAUUUGAUUGCAUUCCCAAAGUUUAUGAUAAUUUUUAAUAUUUUAAUUAAUAUUUUAUUGGAGCAAGGAGUAUAUAUAUAUAUUUACACUAAUGUAGUCUUUUUAAAUUUUAAAACUGUUUUCAGAUGUCAAUAUUUCCAUGGAAUUUUCAAAUGAGCAGCUUAUGAGUACAAUUGAUGACCUUCCCAUUUUGUUGAAUGCAGUACAAAAGCGAUAAAAUGACAACCUUGCCCGGCAACAUAGUUCAAUGUACUAAAAGUGAUGGUAAUUAACCAAAUAAUUGUUUCCAGUCUUCAAACCUUACAAACCAGGAUACCACAAUACAAUCAAUGUUUUUUUGAGUUCAUUACCUUAUGCACGUACUUUUUAAUUUGUGUACACUGCUCAUGAAAUUGGUCAAAAUUAAAUUUUACUUUGAUCACCUGAAUGAUAGAAAAUAUAUAGUUAUCUUUUUAAAGAUGACCAAAUUGACUUCUGGGUCUAUUUUUAUGAUUCGUUUUGAUAAGGAUGCGAGUACUUCUGCUUAUUUAACUGCAUUUUUUUGUAAUCGUGUUACAAAUAGAGUCACAGUUAUACAGCUCGGAAACAGACCUUUCAGUCCAACUCAUUCGCGCCGAGUGGAUACCCUAAACUGAUCUAGUCCCAUUUGACCACCUUUAGCUCAUACCCCUCUAAACUCUUCCUAUUCAUGUACCCAUCAAGAUGCCUUUUAAAAUUGGUAAUUGUAUCUGCCUCUAUUAUCUCCUCUGGCAGCUUGUUCCAUACACUCACCUGAAUCAUAAAAAUCGUGCAGAGAAAGGCCCUUUGACCCACUGUGUACAUGCCAGUCAAAAACACCACCCAACUAUUCUAAUCCCAUUUUCCAGCUCUUGGUUUGGAGCCUUGUAUGCAUUUAUUCCACAGAAAUGCAAAACAAAAAAUGGCGAGAACAUUCCUUAAGUGCUAUGAUAACUAAAUGAAUUUCUAUUUUCUUCCCUACCUACAGUCAUCUUGUCAUUUUCCUUUUUUCCAUUCCAGUUAGUACUGCUUCCCAGGACUGCCAUGCACAAGGUGGGAGAAGGCCUGAGGUGGCAGGGUCAAAGGCUCCAGGGCCUUGAGAUGAAGAAAUAGGGCCUAAUAAUGGCACUCUGAAUCCCUGUUACUUAAAACCUGUAAGCUCUGUUGAUCAUAUUGGUCUGUUCAGUGCUUAACCAUCUCUCUGGUGCUGCAGUAACAAACCCAAAACCAAGUACUGACAAGCUUCCUAAAUAUGAGUAAUUAGGAAAAAGGUCAUGGUUAAUACAAUGGAUAAAGGUUGGGGCUGAACAUCAAAGAAGAAAGUAUCACUUCUGAGUAGUGAAGACAACUGUACUAAAUUCCUUUAAAUUUGCUGAAGUAGUUUUGGUUUUGCCAAAGCCUUCUCUACAAGUCUUUUAGAAUUAUCAUAUAGCUUCUGGUUUAUUGAAACUGUAGCAAUGACAAAUGCAUUCCCACCUAUAGAGCGUUGAAUGUCAGUGGGACAGUCAGCAAUGAGCAUUGCUAUUCUUCUCUUAGGAGGAAGACCUGCCUUGGCUACUGGCUCUAUAAUCACACCAAAACAUGAAGUGUGCUAUACUGGGACUGCAAAUGGUGCCCACCGUGUAUGUCUCCACAGCCCAAGAGUCGGUAGGUGUGAGGUUCUUCAGACAAGGAGGGGGAAGCGAGGCAGAGAUAUGGAAAUGUUAGUAGAGAGGCUGGGUGAAAUAGAAUACCCACAGCAGUUAGACAUUGGGAGAGGGUGGUGAUAUCAAUGUUGGAAAGAGGUUGUAAUGGAGUUUUUCAACUCUUUCUCCUCACAGUCUGAACAAGGUCACUAUCGAUGUCUCCCUUCUACCCAAUUCUGAAUCUUUCCUUGCAGACUGAAAUUUGCGGCUGAGUGGGAAAUGCCAAGUUGUCAUUGAUUUGCCACUUAAGGGCCUCAAUUAGGUCAGGAGUCCAGUGUUAAGACUAUCUAGCAAAAGGGUAUAUAAUUCUGCCCAAUGGAUUAAAGGAAUGUGAUACCGGUAAGACUGCGAUUUGUUUAGCACAGAUUAGUGACAAAACUUGUUCAAAAGUUUUUUUUUGACAACAGAAACACUCUUUGCUGUGAUGAUUGUAAAAAUAUAAACUAUCAAAACAAAGUACAAUAAUAUUUCAAACUAAAAACAGAAAAUGCUGGAGAAAUUCAGCAAGUUUGGUGGCAUCUGUAGGGAGGGAAGCAAACUUGAGGUUGGCUGUAAAAGGGCGGCAUGGUGGCUCAGUGGUUAGCACUCUGCCUCACAGAUCCAGGGAUGCGGGUUCAAUUCCACCCUCAGGUGCCUGUCUGUGUCGAGUUUGCACCUUCUCCCCAUGUCUGCAUGGGUUUCCUCUGGAUGCUCUAGUUUUCACCCACAAUUCAAAGAUGUGCAAGUAAGGUGAAUUGGCCAUGCUACAUUGUUUGUUCUUUGUAAUUCUGGACAAAGAAACCUACAACACAGGAACAGGCCCUUCGGCCCUCCAAGCCUGUGCCGAUCAAGAUCCUCUGUCUAACCUGUCAGCUAUUUUCUAACGGUCUGUGUCCAUUUGCUCCCUGCCCAUCCAUGUACCUGUCCAAAUGUAUCUUAAAAGACGCCAACGUGUCUGCGUCUACAACCUCCGCUGGCAACGCAUUCCAGGCACCCACCACCCUCUGUGUAAAGAACUUUCCACGCAUAUCUCCCUUAAACUUUCCUCCUCUCAUGACCCGUAGUAAUUGAGUCCCCCACUCUGGAUUCAAGGAUGUGUAGAUUAGGGAGAGUGGGUGUGGGUGGGAUGCUCUCAGUGUCAGUCUGGACUUGUUGGGCCGAAGGGCUGUUUCCACACUGUAGGGAUUCUCUGAUUUUGAAUGUGAAAUAUUAAGUAUUUCAAUAUUGAGUAUUCAAUCUAGAGGCUAUAAAAUGCCUAAUUAGAAGCAAAAUUGAUUAACUUUUCCAAUUCCACAUGAUACCAGAAAACAGCACUGAUGUAUUGAAGAAAGUGUUGUGCAGGGACCCCAAGUAGGACUGGAAUAAGCAAUGUUCUAAAUAUCACAAAAGAGAGGGACCUGGCUACAACCAAGCAAGUACCCCUGGCCAUGUCUUUGACAUGGAGAAAAUGAGAUGAAAUAAAGGAAAAGUCGUUCAAAGUGAGAACAAAGUCUACUGAGUGAUGGAAGGCGGUGACGAAUGGGGAGUGUUCAGACCUCUUGUCAACAAAGAGGUGAAGAGCCUUAAGGCCAUCCUGACGUGGGAUGUGCAGAAGGGUUGCACAUUCCUGAUGGAGAGGACGCUGCUCGGGCCAGAAAACUGGAAAUUGUGAAACCAGCAUCUAGCAUCAUAAGAAUUACAAAUUAAUGUGGAAUAAACUCAAUAAGCAGGCAAGAGCAGACUGAAACAGUAAGCCUGCCAGUCUGAGAGUCAUAUAGGAUAGAAACGAGCCCUUCAGCCCACCACGUCUAUGCAAACCAAAGACAAUGACACGACACUAAUCCAAUUUACUUGCUAUUGAUACAUAGCCUACUGUGCCCUGCCCUGCCAUUUUAAGUGUUCGUCCAAAUGCUUCUUACAAGUUGCCAUCAGGCAGCAACUUGCAUAUCUCUACCACUAUCUACGUAAAUUAUUUUUUCCCCUCAGAUAUCCUCUGAAUCACUCAGACCCUUCAGUCCAACUCAUCUAAUGCCAACCAGAUAUCCUAAACUAAUCCAGGCCCAUUUACUAGCAUUUGGCCCACAUCCGUCUAAACCCUUCUGAUUCAUACAUCCAUCCAGAUGCCUUUUAAAUGUUCUAAUUGUACCAGCCUCCACCACUUCCUGUGGCAGCUUAUUCCAUGCAUGCACCACCCUCUGUAUUAAACAACAAGCUGCCCCUUAGGUCCCUUUUAAAUCUUUCCCUUCUUUCCUUGAACCUAUGCCCUCUAGUUUUGGACUCCUCUGCCCCAGGGAAAGGAUCUUGUCUAUUUAUCCUAUCCAUGCCCCUCAUGAUUUUAUAAAUCCCUACCAGGUCACCCCUCAGAUUCAAUGCUUCCCAGAAAAAAUCCCCAGCCUAUUCAGCCUCUCCCUACAGCUUGAACCCUGACAACAUUCUUGCAAAUCCUUUGUGAACCCUUUCAGGUUUCACAACAUCCUCCCUCUACCGGGGAGACCAGAAUUGCACCCAGUAUUCCAAAAGUGGCCUAAUCAAUGUCCUGUUCAGCCAUAACAUGACUGCUCAACUCUUAGAACAUAGAACAUAGAACAGUACAGCACAGAACAGGCCCUUCAGCCCACAAUGUUGUGCCGACCAUUGAUCCUCAUGGAUGCACCCUCAAAUUUCUGUGACCAUAUGCAUGUCCAGCAGUCUCUUAAAUGACCCCAAUGACCUUGCUUCCACAACUGCUGCUGGCAACGCAUUCCAUGCUCUCACAACUCUCUGCGUAAAGAACCUGCCUCUGACAUCCCCUCGAUACUUUCCACCAACCAGCUUAAAACUAUGACCCCUCGUGCUAGCCAUUUCUGCCCUGGGAAAUAGUCUCUGGCUAUCGACUCUAUCUAUGCCUCUCAUUAUCUUGUAUAC
Stegostoma tigrinum is the source of this 6436-nucleotide RNA transcript. It is a transcript of the gene named cathepsin O, with no coding region annotated. NCBI's taxonomy places the organism in Eukaryota, Metazoa, Chordata, Chondrichthyes, Orectolobiformes, Stegostomatidae. The record is from RefSeq and is a predicted model, not a curated record. The transcript has 9 exons.